This 25-nucleotide non-coding RNA is filed under the name Cricetulus griseus (Chinese hamster). Lineage: Eukaryota; Metazoa; Chordata; Mammalia; Rodentia; Cricetidae. The record is from RNAcentral.
AUUACCAAGGAUUUAUUGGAUCUUC